Molecule: ribosomal RNA, 1306 nt
Filed under: uncultured bacterium
Lineage: Bacteria
Description: bacterial SSU rRNA
Rfam family: Bacterial small subunit ribosomal RNA
Source: RNAcentral
AACGUACGCUGGCGGCACGCCUAACACAUGCAAGUCGAACGAAGUAGCAAUACUUAGUGGCAGACGGGUGAGUAACAUGUGGGUAUCUGCCCUUUGGCCUGGAAUAACACGAGGAAACUUGUGCUAAUACCGGAUAAGUCUUUACGGAGAAAGCUUUAUGCACCAUUGGAUGAGCCCGCACUUGAUUAGUUUGUUGGUGGGGUAAUGGCCUACCAAGACUGUGAUCAAUAGCUGAUUUGAGAGGAUGAUCAGCCACAUUGGGACUGAGACACGGCCCAAACUCCUACGGGAGGCAGCAGUGGGGAAUCUUGCACAAUGGAGGAAACUCUGAUGCAGCGAUGCCGCGUGAGUGAAGAAGGCCUUUGGGUUGUAAAGCUCUUUCGUCGGGGAAGAAAAUGACUGUACCCGAAUAAGAAGGUCCGGCUAACUUCGUGCCAGCAGCCGCGGUAAUACGAAGGGACCUAGCGUAGUUCGGAAUUACUGGGCUUAAAGAGUUCGUAGGUGGUUGAAAAAGUUGGUGGUGAAAUCCCAGAGCUUAACUCUGGAACUGCCAUCAAAACUUUUCAGCUAGAGUAUGAUAGAGGAAAGCAGAAUUUCUAGUGUAGAGGUGAAAUUCGUAGAUAUUAGAAAGAAUACCAAUUGCGAAGGCAGCUUUCUGGAUCAUUACUGACACUGAGGAACGAAAGCAUGGGUAGCGAAGAGGAUUAGAUACCCUCGUAGUCCAUGCCGUAAACGAUGUGUGUUAGACGUUGGAAAUUUAUUUUCAGUGUCGCAGCGAAAGCGAUAAACACACCGCCUGGGGAGUACGACCGCAAGGUUAAAACUCAAAUGAAUUGACGGGGACCCGCACAAGUAGUGGAGCAUGUGGUUUAAUUCGAAGAUACGCGCAGAACCUUACCAACACUUGACAUGUUCGUCGCGACUUUAAGAGAUUAAAGUUUUCGGUUCGGCCGGACGAAACACAGGUGCUGCAUGGCUGUCGUCAGCUCGUGUCGUGAGAUGUUGGGUUAAGUCCCGCAACGAGCGCAACCCUCACUUUUAGUUGCCAUCAUUAAGUUGGGCACUCUGAAAGAACUGCCAGUGAUAAGCUGGAGGAAGGUGGGGAUGACGUCAAGUCCUCAUGGCCCUUACGUGUUGGGCUACACACGUGCUACAAUGGUAUCUACAACAGGAAGCAAGACUGCGAAGUUAAGCAAAUCCCUAAAAGAUACCUCAGUUCGGAUUGCACUCUGCAACUCGAGUGCAUGAAGCUGGAAUUACUAGUAAUCGUGGAUCAGCGUGCCACGGUGAAUGCGUUCCCGGGUCU